GUGUGGGUGGGUAGGGGAGCGUCGUGUGCCGGGUGAAGCAGCGCCGGAAGGUAGUUGUGGACGGUUCACGAGUGAGAAUGCAGGCAUGAGUAGCGAUACAAGAGUGGGAAACUCUUGCGCCGAUUGACUAAGGGUUCCUGGGUCAAGCUGAUCUGCCCAGGGUAAGUCGGGACCUAAGGCGAGGCCGACAGGCGUAGUCGAUGGACAACCGGUUGAUAUUCCGGUACCCGUGAUAGUGCGCCAACGCUGAAUCUGGUGAUGCUAAGGCCGUGAAGCCGCCUUUGAUCCCUUCGGGGUGAUGAGGAGUGGUGGAGCCGCUGGUCCAAGCCAGUAGUAGGUGAGCGAUGGGGUGACGCAGGAAGGUAGUCCAGCCCGGGCGGUGGUUGUCCCGGGGUAAGGGUGUAGGGCGUUGCGUAGGUAAAUCCGCGUGACAUGUGUCUGAGACCUGAUGCCGAGCCGAUUGUGGUGAAGUGGAUGAUCCUAUGCUGUCGAGAAAAGCCUCUAGUGAGUGCUGUUGCGGCCCGUACCCUAAACCGACUCAGGUGGUCUGGUAGAGAAUACCGAGGCGUUCGGGUGAACUAUGGUUAAGGAACUCGGCAAAAUGCCCCCGUAACUUCGGGAGAAGGGGGGCCAUUCCUGGUGAUCAUCUUUUCGGUGUGAGCUGGGGGUGGCCGCAGAGACCAGCGAGAAGCGACUGUUUACUAAAAACACAGGUCCGUGCGAAGCCGUAAGGCGAUGUAUACGGACUGACGCCUGCCCGGUGCUGGAACGUUAAGGGGACCGGUUAGCUCUACUUCGGUGGGGCGAAGCUGAGAACUUAAGCGCCAGUAAACGGCGGUGGUAACUAUAACCAUCCUAAGGUAGCGAAAUUCCUUGUCGGGUAAGUUCCGACCUGCACGAAUGGCGUAACGACUUCUCGACUGUCUCAACCAUAGGCCCGGUGAAAUUGCAUUACGAGUAAAGAUGCUCGUUUCGCGCAGCAGGACGGAAAGACCCCGGGACCUUUACUACAGUUUGAUAUUGGUGUUCGGUUCGGCUUGUGUAGGAUAGGUGGGAGACUGUGAAGCUCAAGCGCCAGCUUGGGUGGAGUCGUUGUUGAAAUACCACUCUGGUCGUGCUGGAUGUCUAACCUGGGUCCGUGAUCCGGAUCAGGGACAGUGUCUGAUGGGUAGUUUAACUGGGGCGGUUGCCUCCUAAAGGGUAACGGAGGCGCCCAAAGGUUCCCUCAGCCUGGUUGGCAAUCAGGUGUUGAGUGUAAGUGCACAAGGGAGCUUGACUGUGAGACUGACGGGUCGAGCAGGAGCGAAAGCUGGGACUAGUGAUCCGGCGGUGGCUUGUGGAAGCGCCGUCGCUCAACGGAUAAAAGGUACCCCGGGGAUAACAGGCUGAUCUUCCCCAAGAGUCCAUAUCGACGGGAUGGUUUGGCACCUCGAUGUCGGCUCGUCGCAUCCUGGGGCUGGAGUCGGUCCCAAGGGUUGGGCUGUUCGCCCAUUAAAGCGGUACGCGAGCUGGGUUUAGAACGUCGUGAGACAGUUCGGUCCCUAUCCGCUGUGCGCGUAGGAGUCUUGAGAAGGGCUGUCCCUAGUACGAGAGGACCGGGACGGACGGACCUCUGGUGUGCCAGUUGUUCUGCCAAGGGCAUGGCUGGUUGGCUACGUUCGGGAGGGAUAACCGCUGAAAGCAUCUAAGCGGGAAGCCUGCUUCGAGAUGAGGACUCCCACCCACUUGAUGGGGUAAGGCUCCCAGUAGACGACUGGGUUGAUAGGCCAGAGAUGGAAGCCGGGUAACCGGUGGAGUUGACUGGUACUAAUAGGCCGAGGGCUUGUCCUC
Molecule: ribosomal RNA, 1830 nt
Filed under: Streptantibioticus rubrisoli
Lineage: Bacteria; Bacillati; Actinomycetota; Actinomycetes; Kitasatosporales; Streptomycetaceae
Description: partial 23S ribosomal RNA
Rfam family: Bacterial large subunit ribosomal RNA
Source: RNAcentral